Molecule: ribosomal RNA, 515 nt
Filed under: uncultured bacterium
Lineage: Bacteria
Description: partial 16S ribosomal RNA
Rfam family: Bacterial small subunit ribosomal RNA
Source: RNAcentral
AACGAACGUUAGCGGCGCGCCUAAUACAUGCAAGUCGAGCGAGAAAGGGCUUCGGCCCCGGUACAGCGGCGCACGGGUGAGUAACACGUAGGUAAUCUUCCCUCGAGUGGUGGAUAACCCUCCGAAAGGAGAGCUAAUACAGCAUAAGACCACGGCCUUGAUUAGGCUGCGGUCAAAGCAGGCCACUACAUGUAAGCUUGCGCUUGAGGAUGAGCCUGCGUGCCCAUCAGCUAGGUGGUAGGGUAAUGGCCUACCAAGGCAUAGACGGGUAGCUGGUCUGAGAGGAUGAACAGCCACACUGGAACUGAGACACGGUCCAGACUCCUACGGGAGGCAGCAGUAGGGAAUCUUGCGCAAUGGGCGAAAGCCUGACGCAGCGACGCCGCGUGAGCGAUGAAGGCCUUCGGGUUGUGAAGCUCUGUGGGGAGAGAAGAAUAAGUGUUGGCUAAUAUCCAGCAUGAUGACGGUAUCUCCUUAGCAAGCACCGGCUAACUCUGUGCCAGCCGCCGCCGUAA